AUGUGAUGGUAACCCUGUUGUAUUUAUCUGUUUAACCUCUUCCUGUCCCAGCUCCCGCCCUUAGCCUAUAAAAGGUGUGAUUAUUUUCUCAAUAAACCGGAGGCUUGAUUGGGUUAACAUCAACUUGCCUUCGUCUCUUUUUGUCUCCCCCAUGUCUUUUAUUUAAUCCCCGUUUCCCCUCCAGGAGUUCCAAACUUGUUGAUCUGCAGGCCGGAUCAAGUGGCGCCCAACGUGGGGCUCCUGGCACGGAGAAGUUAACGAGGGAGCCGUUCAAGAGACAGCCGGCUUAAACUGAAAGUAAAAGCAAAUUAAACCAGAGACCUCGGCCGAGGAAUGAGUAAACUAAAUCAAGGAUUAAAGCUUAAAGCAACAGGACAUUAAAUCAAGUGCCGAGACCUGCGCAGACGACUACCCGAUGUCCUGCCCGAGUCACGGUGACACAUCUCCCUGGAGCCUUAUGCUGCUUAACCAGCCUUCUUGAGCCACACCACAUCCAUGGUGGAUUUUGACCCCUGCCAAACAGACUACAACUGCUGACAGCCAUGCACAAAACCCCAUGACUGCGGAAGAGGCUCUUCUCGGUCUAGAGAAACAUACACCAGCCAAAUAGACUACAUCCAAUGUUAUUCAAGGCAUGCUCCAAGACACAGGAGAAUGACUUCAUACAGAGACACCAACAAAUGGCUGUCAACCCCUUCUCCUUGAUUUUGGGGGGGUGUCGAUGUCCGCUCCCGGCCGGCAGGAAGGACACACGACAAAGUCUGGUAGUGGACAACCUUUUCUUUUUAUUUUCCUUCUCCGUACAGCCUGCCCUGGGUUCUCCCAGCUGAAGCCUCCUCUGGUCCGCUCCCCACGGCUCCUUUUGUGCUUCAGUCUGCCCCAAAGCCUCUACCGGUCCGCUCUCCGCGGCUCCUUUUGGGCUUCUACUUCCGGGCUUCUAUCUGGCUUCUACUUCCGCCCAGGGGUGGCACCGGUAUAUAUACGGGUACAGUGUCCAAUCAUGUUAAAGUAAGCAAGGCAAGCUGAUUGGCUAACAUCAUCAGUUGCCAGGCAGACUAUAUUGUUGAGCGGGUUGUUUACGCGGUAAGCAGGAAACUAACAUAUUCGAUGGGAGGGGUAAUCUACCUCAGGCCUCACUCUUUACUACAGGCCUCACGUCCGCCAAGUGAGGCGACCGGGCUCGGGGCUGCGGCUCCCAACAGGGGGGGGGAGUUUUUCCCUUACCUAAUGCCCCCUUUUGGGUUCCCUAGCUGACCUAUUGUUUCUCAUUUCUGUGAGUCUUGUAUUUUUCAGAGGAUUAUGAUGUUCAUUAAUAACCGGAUAAACGCAUUUAUGGCAAAGCCCAUUCAGGUACACUAUCAUCAGCUGGAGUUGGCAGAUCAACAAACCUACAGGGAAGAAAUUCCCACGAGUGGCCCAUAUGAUGAUGCGGCCUGACUGCCCUGGGGCAAUGGACAGGCAGUCAGAGACGGGCAACUAGGACAUGCAUGUUAACUCCAACGGCCACCUAAGACAGGCACAGGACCAACUACUGUUCUGCAAGCCCAUGACGGGUAAGGCCUGGUUGGGUUCAUACAAUAAGGUCCUUGACCUAAGACAAACGCUGUCCUCACAGGGCCUGCCAUACUCUUAAUUAAAUAAUAUAAAAAGGGAGGAGAUGUAGGGAGCCGAGUGACAGGCACUGCUGCCUAGAUGUCUCUCUCUCUCUCUCCUAUGGGCACUGCGUCUGCCUACAUUAACCAUAAUCCUUUUCUGCUUACGUCACUUAUCCGGAUGUGAUGGUAACCCUGUUGUAUUCAUCUGUUUAACGUCUUCCUGUCCCAGCUCCCGCCCUUAGCCUAUAAAAGGUGUGAUUAUUUUCUCAAUAAACCGGAGGCUUGAUUGGGUUAACAUCAA
Molecule: long non-coding RNA, 1896 nt
Organism: Cavia porcellus (domestic guinea pig)
Lineage: Eukaryota; Metazoa; Chordata; Mammalia; Rodentia; Caviidae
Exons: 2
Source: RefSeq, a predicted model, not a curated record